This 496-nucleotide ribosomal RNA is filed under the name uncultured bacterium. RNAcentral's name for it is "partial 16S ribosomal RNA". It matches the Rfam family "Bacterial small subunit ribosomal RNA", at positions 28 to 506 of the family's 1533-position model. The record is from RNAcentral.
GAUGAACGCUGGCGGCGUGCCUAAUACAUGCAAGUCGAGCGAACGGACGAGAAGCUUGCUUCUCUGAUGUUAGCGGCGGACGGGUGAGUAACACGUGGAUAACCUACCUAUAAGACUGGGAUAACUUCGGGAAACCGGAGCUAAUACCGGAUGAUAUUUUGAACCGCAUGGUUCAAAAGUGAAAGACGGUCUUGCUGUCACUUAUAGAUGGAUCCGCGCUGCAUUAGCUAGUUGGUAAGGUAACGGCUUACCAAGGCAACGAUGCAUAGCCGACCUGAGAGGGUGAUCGGCCACACUGGAACUGAGACACGGUCCAGACUCCGACGGGAGGCAGCAGUAGGGAAUCUUCCGCAAUGGGCGAAAGCCUGACGGAGCAACGCCGCGUGAGUGAUGAAGGUCUUCGGAUCGUAAAACUCUGUUAUUAGGGAAGAACAUAUGUGUAAGUAACUGUGCACAUCUUGACGGUACCUAAUCAGAAAGCCACGGCUAGCUACGU